This 435-nucleotide ribosomal RNA is filed under the name uncultured bacterium. RNAcentral's name for it is "partial 16S ribosomal RNA". It matches the Rfam family "Bacterial small subunit ribosomal RNA", at positions 28 to 507 of the family's 1533-position model. The record is from RNAcentral.
GAUGAACGCUGGCGGUAUGCUUAACACAUGCAAGUCGAACGGACUCUUCGGAGUUAGUGGUGGACGGGUGAGUAACGCGUGAGAAUCUGGCUUUGGGUUCGGGACAACCACUGGAAACGGUGGCUAAUACCGGAUGUGCCGAGAGGUAAAAGAGAAAUUGCCUGAAGAUGAGCUCGCGUCUGAUUAGCUAGUUGGUGAGGUAAAGGCUCACCAAGGCAGCGAUCAGUAGCUGGUCUGAGAGGAUGACCAGCCACACUGGGACUGAGACACGGCCCAGACUCCUACGGGAGGCAGCAGUGGGGAAUUUUCCGCAAUGGGCGAAAGCCUGACGGAGCAAUACCGCGUGAGGGAAGAAGGCUCUUGGGGUGUAAACCUCUUUUCUUAGGGAAGAACAAAAUGACGGUACCUAAGGAAUCAGCAUCGGCUAACUCCGUG